RNAcentral lists this ribosomal RNA (253 nucleotides) under uncultured bacterium. Its description in RNAcentral is "partial 16S ribosomal RNA". It matches the Rfam family "Bacterial small subunit ribosomal RNA", at positions 524 to 776 of the family's 1533-position model. The record is from RNAcentral.
UACGUAGGCAGCAAGCGUUGUUCGGAAUUACUGGGCGUAAAGGGUGCGUAGGUGGUCGUUUAAGUCCGUUGUGAAAUCCCUGGGCUCAACCUGGGAAUGGCAGUGGAUACUGGACGGCUAGAAUGCGGUAGAGGGUAGUGGAAUUCCCGGUGUAGCAGUGAAAUGCGUAGAGAUCCGGAGGAACACCAAAGGCGAAGGCAGUGUCCUGGGGAGUACCUGACGCUCAGGUGCGAAAGCCAGGGGAGCGAACGGG